RNAcentral lists this ribosomal RNA (478 nucleotides) under uncultured bacterium. RNAcentral describes it as "partial 16S ribosomal RNA". It matches the Rfam family "Bacterial small subunit ribosomal RNA", at positions 28 to 523 of the family's 1533-position model. The record is from RNAcentral.
GACGAACGCUGGCGGCGUGCUUAACACAUGCAAGUCGAACGGUAAGGCCCUUCGGGGUACACGAGUGGCGAACGGGUGAGUAACACGUGGGUGAUCUGCCCUGCACUUCGGGAUAAGCCUGGGAAACUGGGUCUAAUACCGGAUAGGACCACUGCCUGCAUGGGUGGUGGUGGAAAGCUUUUGCGGUGUGGGAUGGGCCCGCGGCCUAUCAGGUUGGUGGUGGGGGGAUGGCCUACCAAGGCGACGACGGGUAGCCGGCCUGAGGGGGUGACCGGCCACACUGGGACUGAGAUACGGCCCAGACUCCUACGGGAGGCAGCAGUGGGGAAUAUUGCACAAUGGGCGCAAGCCUGAUGCAGCGACGCCGCGUGAGGGAUGACGGCCUUCGGGUUGUAAACCUCUUUCAGCACCGACGAAGCGCAAGUGACGGUAGGUGCAGAAGAAGGACCGGCCAACUACGUGCCAGCCGCCGCGGUAA